This 496-nucleotide ribosomal RNA is filed under the name uncultured bacterium. Its description in RNAcentral is "partial 16S ribosomal RNA". It matches the Rfam family "Bacterial small subunit ribosomal RNA", at positions 28 to 506 of the family's 1533-position model. The record is from RNAcentral.
GAUGAACGCUGGCGGCGUGCCUAAUACAUGCAAGUCGAGCGAACAGACGAGGAGCUUGCUCCUCUGACGUUAGCGGCGGACGGGUGAGUAACACGUGGAUAACCUACCUAUAAGACUGGGAUAACUUCGGGAAACCGGAGCUAAUACCGGAUAAUAUAUUGAACCGCAUGGUUCAAUAGUGAAAGACGGUUUUGCUGUCACUUAUAGAUGGAUCCGCGCCGCAUUAGCUAGUUGGUAAGGUAACGGCUUACCAAGGCAACGAUGCGUAGCCGACCUGAGAGGGGAAUCGGCCACACUGAACCGGAGACACGGUCCAGACCCCUAGGGAAGGCACAAGAAGGGAAUUUUCCGAAUUGGGCGAAAGCCUGACGAAGAAACGCCGCGUGGGUAAUGAGGGUCUUCGGUUCGAAAAACUCUGUUAUUGGGAAAAAAAAAAGGUGUAAGUAACUAUGCACGUCUUAACGGUACCAAAUCAAAAGGCCACGGCAAACUACGU